RNAcentral lists this ribosomal RNA (429 nucleotides) under uncultured bacterium. RNAcentral's name for it is "bacterial SSU rRNA". It matches the Rfam family "Bacterial small subunit ribosomal RNA", at positions 355 to 776 of the family's 1533-position model. The record is from RNAcentral.
UGGGGAAUUUUGGACAAUGGGGGCAACCCUGAUCCAGCCAUGCCGCGUGCGGGAAGAAGGCCUUCGGGUUGUAAACCUCUUUUGUCCGGGAAGAAAAGAUCUCUCCUAACACGGGAGGUUCUUGACGGUACUGGAAGAAUAAGCACCGGCUAACUACGUGCCAGCAGCCGCGGUAAUACGUAGGGUGCGAGCGUUAAUCGGAAUUACUGGGCGUAAAGCGUGCGCAGGCGGUUCGCUAAGUCUGAUGUGAAAUCCCCGGGCUCAACCUGGGAAUGGCAUUGGAAACUGGCGAGCUUGAGUGUGGCAGAGGGGGGUGGAAUUCCACGUGUAGCAGUGAAAUGCGUAGAGAUGUGGAGGAACACCGAUGGCGAAGGCAGCCCCCUGGGCUAACACUGACGCUCAGGCACGAAAGCGUGGGGAGCAAACAGG